UCUGGCGACUAUGGCGGUGGGGAAACACCUCUUCCCAUUCCGAACAGAGCAGUUAAGCCCACCAGCGCCGAUGGUACUGCCCUGGAAACGGGGUGGAAGAGUAGGUCGUCGCCAGGG
RNAcentral lists this ribosomal RNA (117 nucleotides) under Calditrichota bacterium. The record is from RNAcentral. Lineage: Bacteria; Pseudomonadati; Calditrichota.